UUUUGCCUACUGGAGGCAGCAGUGGGGAAUAUUGCACAAUGGGGGAAACCCUGAUGCAGCAACGCCGCGUGAAGGAAGACGGUUUUCGGAUUGUAAACUUCUGUUCUUAGUGAAGAAGAAUGACGGUAGCUAAGGAGCAAGCCACGGCUAACUACGUGCCAGCAGCCGCGGUAAUACGUAGGUGGCAAGCGUUGUCCGGAAUUACUGGGUGUAAAGGGAGCGCAGGCGGGAAGCCAAGGCUGCUGUGAAAACUACGGGCUUAACUUGUAGACUGCAGUUGAAACUGGUUGUCUUGAGUGACGUAG
This 305-nucleotide ribosomal RNA is filed under the name uncultured bacterium. RNAcentral's name for it is "bacterial SSU rRNA". It matches the Rfam family "Bacterial small subunit ribosomal RNA", at positions 333 to 654 of the family's 1533-position model. The record is from RNAcentral.